UUGCUUCAGCAGCACACAGAGCAAAACCGCAAAAACACAGAGAGCAUUAGCAAGAGCCCCGCACAAGGAUGACACAGAAAUUUGUGAAGAAUCUCAUAUUUUU
Fukomys damarensis (Damara mole-rat) is the source of this 103-nucleotide small nuclear RNA. The record is from Ensembl. Lineage: Eukaryota; Metazoa; Chordata; Mammalia; Rodentia; Bathyergidae.